UUUUUUUUUUUUUUUUGUCUUUUUGCUAUUCUUUGGGCCGCUCUCGUGGCAUAUGGAGGCUCCCAGGCCAGGGGUCGAAUCGGAGCUGUAGCCCCCAGCCUACGCCAGAGCCACAGCAACGCGGGAUCCGAGCCGCGUCUGCAACCUACACCACAGCUCACGGCAAUGCCGGAUCGUUAACCCACUGAGCAAGGGCAGGGACUGAACCGGAAACCUCAUGGCUCCUAGUCGGAUUCAUUAACCACUGCGCCACGACGGGAACUCCUGUUUUUGACUUUUUGACAUUUCUUGAGCCGAUCCCGCGGCAUAUGGAGGUUCCCAGGCUAGGGGUCGAAUCGGAGGUGUAGCCACCGGCCUACGCCAGAGCCACAGCAAUGCGGCAUCUGAGCGGCGUCUGCAACCUACACCACAGCUCAUGGCAAUGCCACUUCCUUAACCCACUGAGCAAGGCCAGGGACCAAACCCACAACCUGGUGGUUCCUAGUUGGAUUCGUUAACCACUGCGCCAUGACGGGAAAUCCUUUCCAAGUUUUAAACUAGAAAAGUAAUCCAUGUUUACAAUUUAAAAAAUCAACAGUAUAGAAGUACUCUAUAAAGAUAUCUACUAUAUGAUAAGAUACUGGCUUUUAAUUUCACAUUGGUUCUCAAGAGCAGUGACUUAAUAUGCAUCGAAUUGGUCAGUCACAUUCAUGCAAAAAAAGAAAACAAAGAAAACAUUUUAAUUAGGAAAAUAAAACGUAAUUUGAAAAUACUGAUAAACAUCUCAACUCUAUGAUAUUAUACAUAACAGUUCCAUUUAAUCUUCAAAGAGAAGCAUGUAAAAUGUUAAUAAAAAUGAAAGGAAAUUAUGCUUAAUGAAGGAGAAAAUAGCCUAAUAUUUUAAUUGCUUCUAUAAAAUAAGUUAAACUGUGUGUGAAAGAGAAGGUAAAAAUAAUGAGAGAUAAAAUAUUAGUUUUUUUUUCACAUCUGUGACUAUAUCAAGCAUCACAACUUUCAUGUCAGUGUGCAUUAGGGAAAACUUUUUCUAUUUUAUACAUAUUAUACAAAAUUACCUCUCUAUUAUGACGGUUAGGAUGCUAUAUGGCCUUGUGAAGUCCUGUUGUAAAAAAGGAAAAGCAGUAUUAUGAUGGACCAGGGAUUGUCUAAAUAGAGCUCACUCUACUCCAAACUCUAGGGUGGCAAAGGCUGAACCAAUUUUUUCAUAGUUUUAUCCCUAGUGUCUAGCACAGUGGUGUAUAAUAACUGGUGUAUAAUAAAUAUCUGUCAAAUACAUGAUAAUAGUAAUAGCUAACACUGAGUGCUUUCUAUGUGUCAUUAUUCUAAGCACUAACAUCAUUUUAUACAAUUGUCAUGCAAAUACUCACAGAAUACUUCAUAGAUAUCCCUUAGUUUAUUCACUAUAGGGUAAAGGUUAAGAAUUUCUAGAAUCAUGCAAUUGCCUGAAUUUUAGAUUUCCUCUGAUUCACUUCUGUUGUCUGAAAUACAGGAUUUCUUUUUUCCUGUCUGUGUCUCUCUGGUUCAUAGCUUCUUACAUACUACUUGAUCGCUAAUGCUUGCUAGAAUUUCAGUAGCUCAAUCAUAAUCCCAUAAAUAGGAUUACUGUUCCCAUAAAAGAACUGCACAGACAUCCGUCUUGCCUUCCACCAUGUGAUGACACACUAAGGAGUCAGAAAUCUGCAACAUGGAAGAGGGUUUUCACCAGAACUUCGCUAUGCCUUUAUCCUGAUUUUUGACUUUCAGCUUAUAGAAUUGUGAGCAAUAAAUUACCAGUGUUUAUAAACCACUCAGUCUAUGUCAUUUUUGUUGUAGCAGCCAAAAUAGAUUAAGACAACAAGUGCAAACUUUGUGACCAUGUGGGUUCAUUUACCAUCUCCUGCCCUUUUUUUUUUGGCCAUGCCUAUGGCAUGCAGAAAUUCCUGGGCCAGGGUUUGAACCCAUGCCACAGCAGUGACCCAAGUUGCUGCAGUGACAAUUCUGGAUCCCUAACCCACUAACCCACAAGGGAACUCCUCUGCCUUUCUUUAUGCUAUACUUGUCAUAUGUAUUACAUCUACUUACAUAAUAAACCCCAUAAAAAAGCUAUAAUUUUUGUUUUAAGCAAUUACAUGUAUUUCAAAGAAAUUAAUAGAAAUAUUAUCUUUUACAUUUACUCAGUUAUUUACCGUUUCUUAAAGUCCUUCAUUCCUUCAUAAGGAUUAAAGUUUCCAACAGGAAUUAUCUUAUAUCAGCCUGAAAAACUUUCUUUAGUGUUUCUUCUAAUACUCGUAUGCUAGCAAUUAAU
RNAcentral lists this long non-coding RNA (2281 nucleotides) under Sus scrofa (pig). RNAcentral's name for it is "lncRNA (ENSSSCG00060028094.1)". Lineage: Eukaryota; Metazoa; Chordata; Mammalia; Artiodactyla; Suidae. The record is from RNAcentral.